Molecule: long non-coding RNA, 606 nt
Organism: Lacerta agilis (Sand lizard)
Lineage: Eukaryota; Metazoa; Chordata; Lepidosauria; Squamata; Lacertidae
Exons: 3
Source: RefSeq, a predicted model, not a curated record
UGAAAUAAAGUUGUGUUCUGUAGGAAGCGAACGGGCUCGAUGGCUGUAGCGUCAAGUCCAGGGAAAUGUGAAAUACUGUACCCAGAAGCCUGGGUAGUGUUGGAAGAGUGCACAACCAUGGAAGUACAUCCUUACAAAUAGUGAGAUAACCAAAAGCAUGGCUUUUGUUAUUAAAGCAUAAGGAUUACUACGAAGGGGGAAGUGCCUAAGCAACUAAGUGGGAAAGUGCCUAAGCAACAAGAAAAAACCAGAGCAUUGACUUGCAUUACAAAGACAUGCAGAAUGAUAACACCUAUCCUCCUGGUGGCCCCACAUCUCCCAGUGUGGGAUAAGAGUUUUCUGUUACUAACCUGGUGGCUGACUGAACUAUGAAUAGGGCAGUCAGUGAAUAAAGGUCAGUUAUUGCUCUUCGAGUACUAUAGCACACCAUGAUAACUGACAAUAUCUAGAUGUGACUCUAGUCUCGAUUGUUACUUCUCAGAAUUACUACGAAGGGGAAAGUGCCUAAGCAACUGCUUUUGAAGUUCUUCAGCAGGAGAGUGGAUCCAUAAAUCGGGGGUUAUUGUUAACUUUUGUCUCAAGUAUUAAUAAAAAGUUUGCGUAAAA